This 301-nucleotide ribosomal RNA is filed under the name uncultured bacterium. RNAcentral's name for it is "partial 16S ribosomal RNA". It matches the Rfam family "Bacterial small subunit ribosomal RNA", at positions 509 to 809 of the family's 1533-position model. The record is from RNAcentral.
CAGUCGCCGCGGUAAUACAGAGGGUGCGAGCGUUAAUCGGAUUUACUGGGCGUAAAGCGUGCGUAGGCGGCUUCUUAAGUCGGAUGUGAAAUCCCUGAGCUUAACUUAGGAAUUGCAUUCGAUACUGGGAAGCUAGAGUAUGGGAGAGGAUGGUAGAAUUCCAGGUGUAGCGGUGAAAUGCGUAGAGAUCUGGAGGAAUACCGAUGGCGAAGCCAGCCAUCUGGCCUAAUACUGACGCUGAGGUACGAAAGCAUGGGGAGCAAACAGGAUUAGAGACCCCGGUAGUCCCUGUCUCUUAUAU